This 446-nucleotide ribosomal RNA is filed under the name uncultured bacterium. RNAcentral describes it as "bacterial SSU rRNA". It matches the Rfam family "Bacterial small subunit ribosomal RNA", at positions 331 to 793 of the family's 1533-position model. The record is from RNAcentral.
CCAGACUCCUACGGGAGGCAGCAGUGGGGGAUAUUGCACAAUGGGGGAAACCCUGAUGCAGCGACGCCGCGUGGGUGAAGAAGUAUUUCGGUAUGUAAAGCCCUAUCAGCAGGGAAGAAAGAAGACGGUACCUGACUAAGAAGCCCCGGCUAACUACGUGCCAGCAGCCGCGGUAAUACGUAGGGGGCGAGCGUUAUCCGGAUUCACUGGGUGUAAAGGGAGCGUAGACGGCCGUGCAAGCCAGGAGUGAAAGCCCGGGGCCCAACCCCGGGACUGCUCUUGGAACUGUGCGGCUAGAGUGCGGGAGGGGCAGGCGGAAUUCCUGGUGUAGCGGUGAAAUGCGUAGAUAUCAGGAGGAACACCGGCGGCGAAGGCGGCCUGCUGGACUGUAACUGACGUUGAGGCUCGAAAGCGUGGGGAGCAAACAGGAUUAGAUACCCCCGUAC